UGGGCGGAAAGCGGGCGAAGGUGGUUUGUUAAGUCUGAUGUGAAAGCCCCGGGAUCAACCUGGGAAUUGCAGUGGAUACUGGCGAGCUAGAGUGCGGUAGAGGGUAGUGGAAUUCCCGGUGUAGCAGUGAAAUGCGUAGAGAUCGGGAGGAACAUCUGUGGCGAAGGCGACUGCCUGGACCAGCACUGACACUGAGGCACGAAAGCGUGGGGAGCAAACAG
RNAcentral lists this ribosomal RNA (221 nucleotides) under uncultured bacterium. RNAcentral describes it as "partial 16S ribosomal RNA". It matches the Rfam family "Bacterial small subunit ribosomal RNA", at positions 555 to 775 of the family's 1533-position model. The record is from RNAcentral.